Molecule: long non-coding RNA, 708 nt
Organism: Portunus trituberculatus (swimming crab)
Lineage: Eukaryota; Metazoa; Arthropoda; Malacostraca; Decapoda; Portunidae
Exons: 5
Source: RefSeq, a predicted model, not a curated record
GGAGUAGGCUCCUGUGGGGCCAGUGGAGAAGCUUUGUGGCAAGCUGGUGGAGGAGGUGUUGGUAGCGAGUGUGAAGGGUGGUGAGGUGUAGGGUGUGGAGGGCCUCCUGGCUCAGGCGUGUAGAUGGGAGCAGGAGAAGAAAGAACAAAGGAAGAGGACGAAGAAGAAAGGAAAAAUGGAAGUGGAAGAAGAGGAGGAGCCAAGCCACAAUAUUUAGGUCCGCAGAAAACGACACGCUGAUUUAUUUGAAGUCAAGGAUGGAGAUUAAAACGGCCUUUAAAAACACCACACCCGUUUUGUCCACCGCCAUCACCACCUUCUCCCAGAUCAAGGAAGUGUAUUACGGACUCACACAAAAGGAAGAGGUCCGCAGAAAACGACACGCUGAUUUAUUUGAAGUCAAGGAUGGAGAUUGAAAUGGCCUUUAAAAACACCACACCCGUUUUGUCCACCGCCAUCACCACCACCUCCCAGAUCAAGGAAGUGUAUUACGCACUCACACAUAAGGAAGAGGUGAGUACCCGUAUCACAGGUCACACCGUGGGACUGACACCGCUGCAGCAACCCUUCAGAAUAAAGUCAAGUACAAAUUACGGUUUGCUAGGCGUUAGGUGUUAGGCAUAGGGCGAUAGGCGUCGUGGCUAACCAUUCUCUUCCAGGUACAUGUUAAUUAUCUAGUCUUCUUAAGUAAUGCCCUGGUUACUUUUG